This is a long non-coding RNA of Lolium perenne, 1099 nucleotides long. RefSeq lists it as uncharacterized. NCBI's taxonomy places the organism in Eukaryota, Viridiplantae, Streptophyta, Magnoliopsida, Poales, Poaceae. The record is from RefSeq and is a predicted model, not a curated record.
UUGUCCAGUAGCACGGAUGCAUCACACCCCUAUACACAGAAAUAAAGAAGAUGUCAGAACAGGAUGGUAAAUGACUAGGAAUGUGAAACUGUAAUGUCGAUUGGGUGGAUUGGACACAUGCAGCAAAACUGUAGUGUCGAUUGACCAGGAACUAUCUUCAGCAAGCAUCAAUAUAUUGUUGUAGAAACAUGUAAAUAAUACUGCAGCAAAGAGGAAGCAGAAACCUUGACAAAGCAGUCAUGGAAAUGCAGCCUGACCAAGGAUGCUGCCAUCCUGGUCUCUUGGGCAACAGCCUGUGCCACGAUGGACUGCACAAUUUCCUUGGCCUUCGGGCACGAGUGGUCGUAGAACUGUGGGAACAAGCUAUACCAUGGGUUGGCACGAACGGUGCCUGCAAGGAGGAGUGGACAGGCAAGGCAGAGUACCAGCAAGCUACCCAUGGAACUAGCCAUGCCAGAGAACGUUUGUAAGCAUGCUGCCUUCUGCUACAGCUGGUGCUUAUCUCACUAACUAACACACGUGCGGUCGAUGCUGAUCGGGUCAAAGGAGAUGUGCGAUAUUGUACCAACUUUGGAGGACACGGGAUGCGUGAUGAUUCUGCGUUAGGUGCUUGCAUGGCCUACAUUCAUGUCUGGAGCUGGUUCCUGGAGCUGGAAGUACUUUCAACUGUUCCAAGGCUUUGUCACGGGACCAGCUGCCUUAUUCUUCUGCAGUUCUGCGCAUCAGUGACCGUUUCUUGAAGAAAACAACAGCGUGCCACAGAGAGUCUCAGAGACUUGCAUAUGACUUGCAGGUAUGUUCAUGCUAAGUGUAUGCAUGGGAACCGUUAUUGUUGAUCACGGAUAUUGUUACACCAGAGACCUAGUACUGUUGUAAUCUUUAUGCAAAUUCAUGUCCUAGUUCAAUAUACAUAGGUAGAAUGAUCAUAAAAAUAUUCAUAUUAAAGUGAGCUUGUAGUUUUCAAGUUUGUAUUGAGCUUUACACCGCGCCACUGUUUAAAACACAAGAUUUCUCCUCAACCCCAUAUAUCAGCUGGAAUAAUCCAGCUGUAUUUUUCAUUUUCAUGGAUCUUUUAUAGAAUCUUUGAUGACUCCUGUUA